UACGUAGGGGGCGAGCGUUGUCCGGAAUCAUUGGGCGUAAAGCGCGUGUAGGCGGCCCGGUAAGUCCGCUGUGAAAGUCCAGGGCUCAACCCUGGGAUGCCGGUGGAUACUGUCGGGCUCGAGUCCGGAAGAGGCGAGUGGAAUUCCUGGUGUAGCGGUGAAAUGCGCAGAUAUCAGGAGGAACACCGGUGGCGAAGGCGGCAUCCUGGACCAACACUGACGCUGAGGAGCGAAAGCCAGGGGAGCAAACGGG
RNAcentral lists this ribosomal RNA (253 nucleotides) under uncultured bacterium. RNAcentral's name for it is "partial 16S ribosomal RNA". It matches the Rfam family "Bacterial small subunit ribosomal RNA", at positions 524 to 776 of the family's 1533-position model. The record is from RNAcentral.